CCCAGACUCCUACGGGAGGCAGCAGUGGGGAAUAUUGGACAAUGGGGGGAACCCUGAUCCAGCGACGCCGCGUGAGUGAAGAAGUAUUUCGGUAUGUAAAGCUCUCUCAGCAGGGAAGAAAGAAAUGACGGUACCUGACUAAGAAGCCCCGGCUAACUACGUGCCAGCAGCCGCGGUAAUACGUAGGGGGCAAGCGUUAUCCGGAUUUACUGGGUGUAAAGGGGGCGCAGACGGCAGCGCAAGCCAGGAGUGAAAGCCCGGGGCCCAACCCCGGGACUGCUCUUGGAACUGCGCGGCUGGAGUGCAGGAGGGGCAGGCGGAAUUCCUGGUGUAGCGGUGAAAUGCGUAGAUAUCAGGAGGAACACCGGUGGCGAAGGCGGCCUGCUGGACUGCGACUGACGUUGAGGCCCGAAAGCGUGGGGAGCAAACAGGAUUAGAUACCCCAGUA
This 448-nucleotide ribosomal RNA is filed under the name uncultured bacterium. Its description in RNAcentral is "partial 16S ribosomal RNA". It matches the Rfam family "Bacterial small subunit ribosomal RNA", at positions 330 to 792 of the family's 1533-position model. The record is from RNAcentral.